ACUCACUGGCCACAGCCAGCCAGAGCUGAGUGGUUCACUGUGCCCUGUGAUUUCUGGUUAGCCCCUGGAUAAAGGGUCUAUCCUGACUCGAGGCAAACUGGAUCUAGGUUCCUGCCUCGGGAAAUAAAUGCCAGAUUCAAUGUGGAGUCAUCUGACCAAGGCUGGGAAAGAAGUCAGAUGAGAGAGGUUCCUCUCGCCAUGAGUCCACAGGUGGCCAGAUCGUGUUCCAGGGACCCAGGCUCUCUGCCAACCCCAACACCCCACAGCUGUGCCCACAGUGCAGCCCGGGAUGCCGGCAGCCACUAUUACCUUUAUCUGCUUGAUCUCAUACUGGAUCCUCUUGAUAGGGUUGCCAUAAAUGUCGUUUCCAGAGUCCACUUCCUUCUCACUGACCGCUUUGGCCCUGAUCACUGCAAAACACAAGACACAGAGGGGCCCAACUGCUCGCUGGAGGAA
RNAcentral lists this long non-coding RNA (456 nucleotides) under Homo sapiens (human). RNAcentral's name for it is "HSALNT0245907". Lineage: Eukaryota; Metazoa; Chordata; Mammalia; Primates; Hominidae. The record is from RNAcentral.